GAUGUGGCUCAGUGGUAGAGCACUUGCCUAACAUGCAUGAGGCACUGGGUUCAAUCCCCAGCACAUUA
This 68-nucleotide transfer RNA is filed under the name Urocitellus parryii (Arctic ground squirrel). RNAcentral's name for it is "Spermophilus parryii (Arctic ground squirrel) tRNA". It matches the Rfam family "tRNA". From Rfam's summary of the family: Transfer RNA (tRNA) molecules are approximately 80 nucleotides in length. RNAcentral also lists the same sequence under 1 other name. Lineage: Eukaryota; Metazoa; Chordata; Mammalia; Rodentia; Sciuridae. The record is from Rfam by way of RNAcentral.